RNAcentral lists this ribosomal RNA (388 nucleotides) under uncultured bacterium. RNAcentral's name for it is "partial 16S ribosomal RNA". It matches the Rfam family "Bacterial small subunit ribosomal RNA", at positions 355 to 755 of the family's 1533-position model. The record is from RNAcentral.
UGGGGAAUAUUGCACAAUGGGCGAAAGCCUGAUGCAGCAACGCCGCGUGAGGGACGACGGCCUUCGGGUUGUAAACCUCUUUUAGCAAGGAAGAAGCGAAAGUGACGGUACUUGCAGAAAAAGCGCCGGCUAACUACGUGCCAGCAGCCGCGGUAAUACGUAGGGCGCAAGCGUUAUCCGGAAUUAUUGGGCGUAAAGAGCUCGUAGGCGGUUUGUCGCGUCUGCUGUGAAAACCCGAGGCUCAACCUCGGGCCUGCAGUGGGUACGGGCAGACUAGAGUGCGGUAGGGGAGAUUGGAACUCCUGGUGUAGCGGUGGAAUGCGCAGAUAUCAGGAAGAACACCGAUGGCGAAGGCAGAUCUCUGGGCCGUAACUGACGCUGAGGAGCG